AGAAUUUUUCCUGUUCUCUCUCUUGCCCUCGAAGCUCAACUGUUCAAAUCCAAAGAUGAAUUGCCUUGUGGUCCUGGUAGCUGGUCUCAUUCUCAGUGUCUCUCUGGGUAAGGAAAUAUAACUGUUUAAGAAGGAACUGCAUAUGCUGGAAAAUCGUAGGUAGACAAAAAUGCUGGAGAAACUCAGCGGUUGCAGCAGCAUCUAGGAGCGAAGGAAAUAGGCAACGUUUUGGGCCAAAACCUUGGGUCUGAAGAAGGGUUUCGGCCCGAAACGUUGCCCAUUUCCUUCGCUAUCUCUCCAGCAUUUUUGUGUACCAAGGAAAUAUAACUAUUUUGUUGUCCUCUAGUUUAACUGUGGAAAGACAUUUUAGAUUCUCAAGUGGGAUUGGAAUUCUUGGUUAAACAUUUAGUUGUAUGUUCGUUCACAUGUAGAGAGUUUGUUAAUGAAUAUGGAGUCCACUGGUUCUCCCCUAUCCACUCUACUAGUUACAUCCUCGAAAAAUUCUAUGAGAUUCGUCAGACAUGAUUUACCUUUCAUAAAUCCAUGCUGACUUUGUCCAAUGAUUUCACCACUUUCCAAAUGUGCUGCUAUCGCAUCUUUAAUAACUGAUUCUAGCAGUUUCCCCACUACCGACGUUAGACUAACUGGUCUGUAAUUCCCCAUUUUCUCUCUCCCUCCCUUUUUAAAAAGUGGGGUUACAUUAGCUAUCCUCCAACCCUCAGGAACUACUCCAGAAUCUAAAGAGUUUUGAAAAAUUAUCACUAAUGCAUCCACUAUUUCUGGGGCUACUUCCUUAAGUAUUCUGGGAUGCAGCCUAUCUGGCCCUGGGGAUUUAUCGGCCUUUAAUCCAUUCAAUUUACCUAACACCACUUCCCGGCUAACCUGGAAUUCACUCAGUUCCUCCAUCUUAUUUGACCCCCGGUCCCCUGCUAUUUCUGGCAGAUUAUUUUUAUCUUCCUUAGUGAAGACAGAAUCAAAGUAGUUAUUCAAUUGGUCUGCCAUGUCCUUGUUCCCCAUGAUCAAUUUACCUGUUUUUGACUGCAAGGGACCUACAUUUGUUUUAACUAACCUUUUUCUCUUCACAUAUCUAUAAAAGCUUUUGCAGUCAGUUUUUAUGUUCCCUGCCAGUUUCCUUUCAUAAUCUAUUUUCCCUUUCCUAAUUAAGCCCUUUGUCCUCCUCUGCUGGACUGAAUUUCUCCCAGUCCUCUGGUAGGCUGCUUUUUCUGGCUAAUUUGUACGCUUCAUCUUUUGUUUUGAUACUAUCCCUGAUUUCCCUUGUUAUCCACGGAUGCACUACCUUCCCUUAUUUAUUUUUUUCCAUACUGGGAUGAACAAUUGUUGUAGUUCAUCCAUGCAGCCUUUAAAUGCCUUCCAUUGCAUAUCCACCGUCAACCCAUUAAGAAUGAAUUGCCAGUCUAUCUUGGCCAAUUCACGUCUCAUACCGUCAAAGUCACCUUUCUUUAAGUUCAGGACCCUUGUUUCUGAAUUAACCAUGUCACUCUCCAUCCUAAUGAAGAACUCAACGAUAUUAUGGUCACUCUUGCCCAAGGGGCCACGCACAACAAGACUGCUAACUAACCCUUCCUCAUUACUCAAUACCCAAUCUAGAAUAGCCUGCUCUCUCGUUGGUUCUUCUACAUGUUGGUUUAGAAAACUAUCCUGCAUACAUUCCAAGAAAUCCUCUUCCUGAGCACCCUUGCCAAUUUGAUUCACCCAAUCUAUAUGUAGAUUGAAGUCACCCAUUAUAACUGUUUUACCUUUGUUACACGCAUUUCUAAUUUCCUGUUUGAUGCCAUCCCCAACUCCACUACUACUGUUAGGUGGCCUGUACACAACUCCCACAAGCGUUUUCUGCCCCUUAGUGUUUCGCAGCUCUACCCAUAUCGAUUCCACAUCCUCCAAGCUAAUGUCCUUCCUUUCUAUUGCAUUAAUCUGCUCUCUAACCCACCUCCUUUCCCUUUCUGUCUAUCCCUCCUGAAUAUUGAAUAUCCCUGGAUUGGUCACCCUGGAGCCAUGUCUCUGUGAUCCCAACUAUAUCAUAGUCAUUAAUAGCUAUCUGCACAUUCAACUCAUCCACCUUAUUACGAAUGCUCCUUCCAUUGAAACACAAAGCCUUCAGGCUUGUUUUUACAACACUCUUACCCCUUAUACAAUUAUGUUGAAAAGUGGCCCUUUUUGAUUUUUGCCCUGGUUUUGUCUGCCUGCCACAUUUCACCUUGCUACCUAUUGCUUCUACCCUAAUUUUACACCUCUCUGUCUCUCCGCUCACACAUUUAAGAAACCCUUUCCCUUUAACUCCAUCCUCAACUAUCCCAUUUGACACCCCACCCCCCUUAUUCAGUUUAAAACCACCCGUGUAGCAGUGGCAAACCUGCCUGCCAGAAUGCUGGCCCCUUCACCUGUUAAGAUGCAAUCCGUCCCUUUUGUACAGUUCCCCCUUACUCCAAAACAGAUCCCAGUGAUCCAAGAAUCUAAAUCCCUGCCCUGUGCACCAGUUCCUCAGCCACACAUUCAGGUCCCGUAUCUCCCUGUUCCUGCUCUCGCCAGCACGAGGAACUGGAAACAAACCGGAGGUAACAACCCUGGAGGUCCUGCUUUUCAACAUUUUUCCGAGCUCUCUAAAGUCACGCUGCAGAAUAUUCAUCCCCUUCUUUCCGACAUCAUUUGUGCCGACAUGCACUACUACUUCCGGCUGUUCACCUUUGCCCUUGAGGAUAUUCUGCACUCUGUCCGUGACAUCCUGGAUCCUGGCACCUGUGUUCUGUUUGCACACAGUGCUAGAUAGGCAAAGAGACUUCAGGUAACUGUUUGCAGUGUUACUCCUGCACAGCAUCACGAAACAGAUGUGUGGAUACUGCUAUUAAUUGCACUCAGGAUAUCGAGCAAUGCUUCCUUGGGGUUGCGGAAAUUGGUAAUACUACCUU
Leucoraja erinaceus (little skate) is the source of this 2924-nucleotide long non-coding RNA. RefSeq lists it as uncharacterized. The record is from RefSeq and is a predicted model, not a curated record. The transcript has 3 exons. NCBI's taxonomy places the organism in Eukaryota, Metazoa, Chordata, Chondrichthyes, Rajiformes, Rajidae.